GGGUAAUUAAAAUUAAAAAUUUAAAAUAAAUUAAUCUCGAAUUUAAAAGAUUUAAUUGAAAAUUUUAAGUUUAUGUGAAAUUAUAAUUAUUAAUUUUUAAUUAGAAGUGAAAUAUUAAUCAAUUUUAAAUAUAUCUAGUUUUUUUAGAAUUGAAUUUAAUUCAGCUUUGAAAUUUAUUUAUAUUAAUAAAAUUUAUUUUAUUGAAAUUUAUUACAGAGUAAAUAUAAUCGGGAUAAAUUGAUUAUAUAUAUUUAUAAAUUAAUUUUUAAUAAUUUAUUAUUAAAAAUAAUAUUAAAAUUAUAUAUUUUUAAUAAAAAUGUUUAAAUUUAUAGAUUAUAUUUUUAAAAAAUUGUUAAAUUUGAAUUUUAAUUAUUUAUAAAAAUUUUUUAAUUAAUAAAUUAAUUAUAAAAAAUAAUGAUUAUAUUAGUAAAAUUUUUAAUGUUUUAAUGAUUUUAAAAAUAGUUGAAUAAAUAAAUUUAAGGAAUUAGGCAAAAAUUUUAAUUUUUAAAUUUAUAUUUACCUGUUUAUCAAAAACAUGUCUUAUUGAUAAAAAUAAUAAGUUUAUUCUGCCCACUGAAUGAAAAAUUUAAAAGGCUGCAGUAUAAUGACUGUACAAAGGUAGCAAAAUCAAUAGUUUUUUAAUUGAAAACUGGAAUGAAAGAAUUAAUAAAAUAUAUUCUGUCUCAAAUUUAUUAUUUAAUUAAAUUUAAAUAAGAAGUUAAAAUGCUUUUAUAUAUUUAUUAGACGAUAAGACCCUAAGAAUUUAAUAUAAUUUUUUAUAGAAAGAUUUUAUGAAUAUAUAUAUAUAUAUAUAUAUAUAUAUAUUAUAAUUAAAUUUAUAUUUUAUUGGGAGGGUAAUUAAAUUUUUGAAACUUUAAUUAUUAAUAAACAUGGAUGAAUGAUUAUUUUAUGAUAAUAUUAAUACUUAUAAGAAUAAAUUACCUUAG
Molecule: ribosomal RNA, 947 nt
Filed under: Polistes brunus
Lineage: Eukaryota; Metazoa; Arthropoda; Insecta; Hymenoptera; Vespidae
Description: partial large subunit ribosomal RNA
Source: RNAcentral